This 910-nucleotide ribosomal RNA is filed under the name Aleurina echinata. RNAcentral describes it as "partial large subunit ribosomal RNA". It matches the Rfam family "Eukaryotic large subunit ribosomal RNA", at positions 37 to 961 of the family's 3401-position model. Lineage: Eukaryota; Fungi; Ascomycota; Pezizomycetes; Pezizales; Pyronemataceae. The record is from RNAcentral.
AGCAUAUCAAUAAGCGGAGGAAAAGAAACCAACAGGGAUUGCCUUAGUAACUGCGAGUGAAGCGGCAAAAGCUCAAAUUUGAAAUCUGACGCCUUUGGGUGUUUGAGUUGUAAUUUGGAGGGGCAUCUUCGGGGCUGGUGUCAUUUUAAGUUCUUUGGAACAGGACGUCACAGAGGGUGAGAAUCCCGUGCCUGGAUGGCUGUCUGGCCCCAUGUGAAGUGUCUCCGACGAGUCGAGUUGUUUGGGAAUGCAGCUCAAAAUGGGUGGUAAAUUUCAUCUAAAGCUAAAUAUUGGCAAGAGACCGAUAGCGCACAAGUAGAGUGAUCGAAAGAUGAAAAGCACUUUGAAAAGAGAGUUAAAAAGUACGUGAAAUUGUUGAAAGGGAAGCGCUUGAGAUCAGACUCGACUGGUGGUGAUCAACCAUGCUUUUGUAUGAUGCACUGACUACCAGUUGGGCCAGCAUCAGUUCUGGUGGUGGGAUAAAAGGUGUGGGAACGUAGCUGUAUUCGUACAGUGUUAUAGCCUGCAUCACAAUGUCACUUGCUGGGACUGAGGACCGCACUUUCGGGUUAGGAUGCUGGCGUAAUGGUCUCAAUCGACCCGUCUUGAAACACGGACCAAGGAGUCUAACAUCUAUGCGAGUGUUCGGGUGGAAAACCCUUGCGCGUAAUGAAAGUGAACGGAGGUGGGAACCCCUCGGGGUGCACCAUCGACCGAUCCCGAUGUCUUCGGAAGGAUUUGAGUAAGAGCAUAGCUGUUGGGACCCGAAAGAUGGUGAACUAUGCCUGAAUAGGGUGAAGCCAGGGGAAACUCUGGUGGAGGCUCGCAGCGGUUCUGACGUGCAAAUCGAUCGUCAAAUUUGGGUAUAGGGGCGAAAGACUAAUCGAACCAUCUAGUAGCUGGUUCCUGC